RNAcentral lists this ribosomal RNA (445 nucleotides) under uncultured Propionibacteriaceae bacterium. RNAcentral describes it as "bacterial SSU rRNA". It matches the Rfam family "Bacterial small subunit ribosomal RNA", at positions 338 to 795 of the family's 1533-position model. Lineage: Bacteria; Bacillati; Actinomycetota; Actinomycetes; Propionibacteriales; Propionibacteriaceae. The record is from RNAcentral.
CCUACGGGAGGCAGCAGUGGGGAAUAUUGCACAAUGGGCGCAAGCCUGAUGCAGCAACGCCGCGUGCGGGAUGACGGCCUUCGGGUUGUAAACCGCUUUCAGCAGGGACGAAGCGCAAGUGACGGUACCUGCAGAAGAAGCACCGGCCAACUACGUGCCAGCAGCCGCGGUGAUACGUAGGGUGCAAGCGUUGUCCGGAAUUAUUGGGCGUAAAGAGCUUGUAGGCGGUCUGUUGCGUCGAAAGUGAAAACUCAGGGCUUAACCCUGAGCCUGCUUUCGAUACGGGCAGACUAGAGGAAGGUAGGGGAGAACGGAAUUCCUGGUGGAGCGGUGGAAUGCGCAGAUAUCAGGAGGAACACCGGUGGCGAAGGCGGUUCUCUGGACCUUUCCUGACGCUGAGAAGCGAAAGCGUGGGGAGCAAACAGGCUUAGAUACCCGUGUAGUC